This 227-nucleotide ribosomal RNA is filed under the name uncultured bacterium. RNAcentral's name for it is "partial 16S ribosomal RNA". It matches the Rfam family "Bacterial small subunit ribosomal RNA", at positions 118 to 341 of the family's 1533-position model. The record is from RNAcentral.
UGAGUAACCUGCCCUUAACUCUGGGAUGAGCCUGGGAAACUGGGUCUAAUACCGGAUAUGACUCCUCAUCGCAUGGUGGGGGGUGGAAAGCUUUAUUGUGGUUUUGGAUGGACUCGCGGCCUAUCAGCUUGUUGGUGAGGUAAUGGCUCACCAAGGCGACGACGGGUAGCCGGACUGAGAGGGUGACCGGCCACACGUGGGACUGAGACGACCGGCCCAGACCUCCG